AAUAUUAAUUACGAAAGCAAAAAAUUAUGGCGGUAUUUUAAGCUUUUCAGAGGAAUUUGCUCUUUAAUGGAUAAAACACCUAGACCUUACUUAAAUUAGUACUUUUCAGUUUGUAUACCACUAUUAUAAUAAUAAUUUGUUAUUAUUAUUAAUAUUCUUAAAUUAGAAGAAAAUUAAGUCAAGGUGCAGCAUAAAUUUAUGAAUGAAGUGAAUUACAUUUCUUUUAAGAAAAAUAAAAUUGAAAUAAAACAUUUAGGAUUUGAUAGUAAAAUUAAAAUAUUAAG
RNAcentral lists this ribosomal RNA (284 nucleotides) under Hyalomma marginatum. RNAcentral describes it as "partial small subunit ribosomal RNA". The record is from RNAcentral. Lineage: Eukaryota; Metazoa; Arthropoda; Arachnida; Ixodida; Ixodidae.